UUCUGGCUCAGGAUGAACGCGUAGCGACAGGCUAACACAUACAAGUCGAGGGGCAUCACGGGAGUAGCAAUACAACUGGUGGCGACCGGCGCACGGGUGAGUAACGCGUAUGCAACCUACCUAUCGAGAGGGGAAUAACCCGGCGAAAGUCGGACUAAUACCGCAUAAAACAGGGGCACCGCAUGGUGAUAUUGUUAAAGAAAUUCGCUGAUAGAUGGGCAUGCGUUCCAUUAGGUAGUUGGUGAGGUAACGGCUCACCAAGCCGACGAUGGAUAGGGGAACUGAGAGGUUGGUCUCCCACACUGGUACUGAGACACGGACCAGACUCCUACGGGAGGCAGCAGUGAGGAAUAUUGGUCAAUGGGCGGGAGCCUGAACCAGCCAAGUCGCGGUGAAGGAAGAAGGAUCUAUGGUUCGUAAACUUCUUUUGCAGGGGAAUAAAGUGCAGGACGUGUCCUGUUUUGUAUGUACCCUGAGAAUAAGGAUCGGCUAACUCCGUGCCAGCCGCCGC
Molecule: ribosomal RNA, 511 nt
Filed under: uncultured bacterium
Lineage: Bacteria
Description: bacterial SSU rRNA
Rfam family: Bacterial small subunit ribosomal RNA
Source: RNAcentral